GGGGAAUAUUGCACAAUGGGCGCAAGCCUGAUGCAGCCAUGCCGCGUGUAUGAAGAAGGCCUUGGGGUUGUAAAGACUUUCCACCGGGGGGGAAGGUGUUGUGGUUAUUACCGGCACCAAUUGCCGUACCCCGCGGAAGAGGAACGGGCUACCCCGGUGCCAGCAGCCGCGGUAAUACGGAGGGUGCAAGCGUUAAUCGGAAUUAUUGGGCGUAAAGCGCACGGCAGGCGGUCUGUCAAGUCGGAUGUGAAAUCCCCGGGCUCAACCUGGGAACUGCAUUCGAAACUGGCAGGCUAGAGUCUUGUAGAGGGGGGUAGAAUUCCAGGUGUAGCGGUGAAAUGCGUAGAGAUCUGGAGGAAUACCGGUGGCGAAGGCGGCCCCCUGGACAAAGACUGACGCUCAGGUGCGAAAGCGUGGGGAGCAAACA
Molecule: ribosomal RNA, 427 nt
Filed under: uncultured Enterobacteriaceae bacterium
Lineage: Bacteria; Pseudomonadati; Pseudomonadota; Gammaproteobacteria; Enterobacterales; Enterobacteriaceae
Description: bacterial SSU rRNA
Rfam family: Bacterial small subunit ribosomal RNA
Source: RNAcentral